CAAAGUGGUUUAGGGGCUGAUUCCCGCUAUUGAACCAGACGAAUUUCUCCAAAAAGCACGUCCUAAGAGAAACAUAACUGCAAAGAAGUUCGAAGAAUACCACGCAACAAAUAUUUUGGAAAAGCAAGUAAAGAAUCACUCUAAGUGUUUUGACAUUCCACUAAGCAAAACACCACAAUACUCAAAUUCAUUCUUUAUAAAGACAGUGAUCGCGUCGAAUCAGCAAGACGACACUGUAGUGCGUUUAUCAAGCGUAAAGAGCGUCAAAUCUGCUCUUACUCCCCGUCAAUAAAUCGGCGGCGCUCUCUCAAACCGUUAUAUUAAAGCCAGAAUUGGUAUUGACAACGCAUUCAUACAGAUACAGAUACAGAGGAUGUCGCGGUCGUUGUUAAUGUGGAAAACCGAGUCUCCCGUGCACCGUUUUGUUUACAUGUGGUGGUGACUGUGAAUAAACAUGUAUUUUCAGCC
This 468-nucleotide long non-coding RNA is filed under the name Mytilus galloprovincialis (Mediterranean mussel). The record is from RNAcentral. Lineage: Eukaryota; Metazoa; Mollusca; Bivalvia; Mytilida; Mytilidae.